CAGUGAGGAAUAUUGCAACAAUGGACGCAAGUCUGAGGCAGCGACGCCGCGUGGGUGAAGAAGGCCUUCGGGUCGUAAAGCCCUUUUCUGUGUGACGAGAACGGACGGUAGCACAGGAAAAAGUCUCGGCUAACUACGUGCCAGCAGCCGCGGUAAAACGUAGGAGGCAAGCGUUAUCCGGAGUUACUGGGCGUAAAGCGUGCGUAGGCGGGUCGGUAAGUGGGUCGUGAAAGCGCCGGGCUAAACCGGGCGAGGACGAACUAGACUGCCGGUCUAGAGGCGGAUAGAGGGGUGCGGAAUUCCGGGUGUAGCGGUGAAAUGUGUAGAGAUCCGGAGGAACACCAGUGGUGCAAACGGCGCCCUGGGUCCGAACUGACGCUGAGGCACGAAAGCGUGGGGAGCGAACGGGAUUAGAGACCCCGGUAGUCCACGCCGUAAACGAUGUCAACUAGGUGUCCACUCGGCUACGGUCGAGGGGGUGCCGAAGCUAACGCCAUAAGUUGACCGCCUGGGGAGUAUCGGAUCGCAUAGGUUCUCUUUUUGAAAACUC
RNAcentral lists this ribosomal RNA (550 nucleotides) under uncultured bacterium. Its description in RNAcentral is "bacterial SSU rRNA". It matches the Rfam family "Bacterial small subunit ribosomal RNA", at positions 352 to 902 of the family's 1533-position model. The record is from RNAcentral.